GUUCAAACGAGGAAGGGGUUACGGUGGAUACCUAGGCACCUAGAGACGAGGAAGGGUGUGGUAAGCGACAAAAUGCUUCAGGGAGUUGAAAAUGAGCAUAGAUUCAAAGAUUCCCAAACAAGUUAACCUUUUCAACUACUGCUAAAUCCAUGGGUAGACAAGAGACAACAUGGUGAGCUGAAACAUCUCAGUAGCUAGAGAAAUAGAAAGCAAAAGUGAUUCCUGUAGUAGCAGCGGGCGAAAUGGGAGCAACCUAAACCGUGAAAACUUGGUUAUGGAAGAGCACAAUAUAAGCUCUGCGCUGCUAGGCGAAGCAAUUGAGUCCUACACCCUAGAUGGUGAGAGUCUAGUAGCAAAAAAGUAUCAUUGGCUUAUGCUCUAACCUGAGUAGCAUGGAGCAUGUGGAAUCCCAUGUGAAUCAACAAGGACCACCUUGCAAGGCUAAAUACUCCUAGGUGACUAAUAACGAAGUAAUAAUGUGAGGGAAAGAUGAAAAUAACCCACAUCGAGGAGUGAAAUAGAGCAUGAAACCGUAAGCUCCCAAAAAGUGGUAGGAAAAUUAGAUCUCUGGCUGUGUGCUUGUUGAAGAAUGAGCCGGCGAAUUAUAGAUAGUGGCUUGGUUAAGGGAACCCACCAAAGCUGUAGUGAGAGUGAGACUUCAUGGGGAAAUUGUCACUGCUUAUGGACUUGAACCUGGGUGAUCCAUCCAUGACCAGGAUGAAGCUUGGGUGAAACUAAGUGGAGGUUUGAACUAACUGAUGUUGAAAAAUUAGGGAAUAAAUUGUGGUUAGGGGUGAAAUGCCACUCGACCGUAGAGCUAGCUGGUUCUCCCUAAAAUGCAUUGAGGCACAAUAGUUGACUAGACCAUCUAGGGGUAAAGCACUAUUUUAGUAUGGACCGUGAGAGUGGUACCAAAUUGAGGCAAAAUCAAAAUAUUAGAUUUCCCCAGUAAAAGGGGUUAAGGUCAGCCAAUGAGACGACAGGGGACAAGAUUCAUCGCCGAGAGGGGAACAACCUAGAUCACCAAUGAAGGCCCCUAAAUGACCUCUUAGUGGUGAAGGAAGUAUGUGUGCAAAGACAACCAUGAUGUUUGCCUAGAAGUAGACAACCUUGAAAGAGUGUGUAAUAACUCAUUGAUUGAGCGCUAUUGCGUCGAAGAUGAGUAGGACUAAGCAAUUUGUUGAAGUUGUGGGAUGUAAAAAUAAAUCGGUAGGGGAGCGUUCUGCCUUAGAGGGAAGCACCGACACAAGUAGGAGUGGACGAAGUGGAAGCAAGAAUGUCAGCUUAAGUAAUGCAAACAUUGGUGAGAACCCAAUGCCCCUAAAAGCUAAGGGUUCCUUCGCAUGGUUCAUCCACGGAGGGUGAGUCAGGGCCCAAGAUUAGGCUGAAAGGCGUAGUCGAUUAACAACAGGUGAAUAUUCAUGUUCUACCCCUUGUUGGUCGCAAGGGACAGAGGAGGAUAGGCUAGCCGAAAGAUGGUUAUUGGUUCAAGGACACAAGGUGACCUUGCUUUUUUCAGGGUAAGAAGGGGUAGAGAAAAUGCCUCGAGCCAAUGUUCCAAUACCAAGCACUACAACAUUGAAGUAACCUAUGCCAUACUUCCAAUAAAAACUUGAAGGACCUUUAACAAAUGGGUACAUGUACCUGAAACCGACACAUGUAGGCAGGUAGAGAAUACUUAGGGGCACGAAACAACUCUCUCUCUAAGAAACUUGGAAAAAUAACCCCGUAACUUCGGGAAAAGAAGUGUCUCCUUAGGAAAUUGCAAUGACUAGGUCCAAGUGGUUGUUUUACUAAAAACAUAGGUCUCCGCAAAGUCAUAAAAAGUUCUAAUCUAUCAUUUAAUAAAUUAAAAGCAAAGGCAAAAAAGUAAAGCUUAAAUUUCAAAUAAAUGCUAAGUUAAAAGACACUUAAAAAUACAAAAUUGAAAUCUUUUUGGAACGUUUAAAUGAAAAUUUAAAAAUGCAAAGUUUAAAUAUUUUUC
Non-coding RNA from Picea glauca (white spruce), 1984 nucleotides. The record is from Rfam. Lineage: Eukaryota; Viridiplantae; Streptophyta; Pinopsida; Pinales; Pinaceae.